Molecule: small RNA, 555 nt
Filed under: Pongo abelii (Sumatran orangutan)
Lineage: Eukaryota; Metazoa; Chordata; Mammalia; Primates; Hominidae
Description: processed transcript
Source: RNAcentral
GUUGGGGGCGUUCCGGGAUUGAGGGGUGGUUGUAGUGGUGGGUUAGGAAUACCCUCCCGGCUAUCGCUUCAGUGGGUAGAGGGGACCACUGCCCGAGAGCUUUAAUGGAGCUGGGUCCUGCAUUCGCGCUGAGGAGCCCUCGUUUUCGAGAUCGGGCCUGACCGGGAUAAGCUCCAGGCAUAAACAUUUACUAAAGAGCUAUUAAUGGGUCAGUCACAGGUGGAAGAAUGUUGUGAAUAUACAAGUGACUGGGAGUGUGUCUAAAAGAUCAUAUAAUUUGAAACAGUAUAAUGUCUCAGUCCUGGGCAAAGUGAGAUGAGUUGUAGCCUUUGGAGACCUAUAAUUUUGAACAUAGAUGUUCCUUAAAAGCUAAAUUGUUUUGAACAGAUGAUGAUAAACCUGGAGGAGAUUCACCAACAAUAGCAAAUUACAGACUGGCUUGGAAAGCACUCACAUGUUCCGUUUGAUCUUGGCAGUUUAAUGCUGUUCUUGAGGUCUAAUUAGUUACACUGGAUAUGCUGCUGUUCUUGAAGUCUAAUUAGUUACACUGGAUAU